GCCUAGCGGUUAAUACCCGCUAGGAAAGACAUCACUCGCAGAAGAAGCGCCGGCUAACUCCGUGCCAGCAGCCGCGGUAAUACGGAGGGUGCAAGCGUUAAUCGGAAUUACUGGGCGUAAAGCGCGCGUAGGUGGCUUGAUAAGCCGGUUGUGAAAGCCCCGGGCUCAACCUGGGAACGGCAUCCGGAACUGUCAAGCUAGAGUGCAGGAGAGGAAGGUAGAAUUCCCGGUGUAGCGGUGAAAUGCGUAGAGAUCGGGAGGAAUACCAGUGGCGAAGGCGGCCUUCUGGACUGACACUGACACUGAGGUGCGAAAGCGUGGGUAGCAAACAGGAUUAGAUACCCUGGUAGUCCACGCCGUAAACGAUGUCGACCAGCCGUUGGGUGCCUAGCGCACUUUGUGGCGAAGUUAACGCGAUAAGUCGACCGC
Molecule: ribosomal RNA, 429 nt
Filed under: uncultured Gammaproteobacteria bacterium
Lineage: Bacteria; Pseudomonadati; Pseudomonadota; Gammaproteobacteria
Description: bacterial SSU rRNA
Rfam family: Bacterial small subunit ribosomal RNA
Source: RNAcentral